GGCUCAGGACGAACGCUGGCGGCGUGCCUAAUACAUGCAAGUCGAGCGGAGCACUUCGGUGCUUAGCGGCGGACGGGUGAGUAACACGUAGGUAACCUGCCUAUCAGACUGGGAUAACUAUCGGAAACGAUAGCUAAGACCGGAUAACUGGUUUUCUCGCAUGAGAGAAUCAUGAAACACGGAGCAAUCUGUGGCUGACAGAUGGGCCUGCGGCGCAUUAGCUAGUUGGUAGGGUAACGGCCUACCAAGGCGACGAUGCGUAGCCGACCUGAGAGGGUGAACGGCCACACUGGGACUGAGACACGGCCCAGACUCCUACGGGAGGCAGCAGUAGGGAAUCUUCCGCAAUGGACGCAAGUCUGACGGAGCAACGCCGCGUGAGUGAUGAAGGUUUUCGGAUCGUAAAGCUCUGUUGCCCUAGACGAACAGCAAGGCGAGUAACUG
RNAcentral lists this ribosomal RNA (444 nucleotides) under Paenibacillus sp. R-45939. RNAcentral's name for it is "bacterial SSU rRNA". It matches the Rfam family "Bacterial small subunit ribosomal RNA", at positions 21 to 467 of the family's 1533-position model. Lineage: Bacteria; Bacillati; Bacillota; Bacilli; Caryophanales; Paenibacillaceae. The record is from RNAcentral.